AACGAACGCUGGCGGCAGGCUUAACACAUGCAAGUCGAGCGCCCCGCAAGGGGAGCGGCAGACGGGUGAGUAACGCGUGGGAAUCUACCCAUCUCUACGGAAUAACGCAUGGAAACGUGUGCUAAUACCGUAUACGUCCUUCGGGAGAGAGAUUUAUCGGAGAUGGAUGAGCCCGCGUUGGAUUAGCUAGUUGGUGGGGUAAAGGCCUACCAAGGCGACGAUCCAUAGCUGGUCUGAGAGGAUGAUCAGCCACACUGGGACUGAGACACGGCCCAGACUCCUACGGGAGGCAGCAGUGGGGGAUAUUGGACAAUGGGCGCAAGCCUGAUCCAGCCAUGCCGCGUGAGUGAUGAAGGCCCUAGGGUUGUAAAGCUCUUUCACCGGUGAAGAUAAUGACGGUAACCGGAGAAGAAGCCCCGGCUAACUUCGUGCCAGCAGCCGCGGUAA
RNAcentral lists this ribosomal RNA (447 nucleotides) under uncultured Hyphomicrobiales bacterium. RNAcentral describes it as "bacterial SSU rRNA". It matches the Rfam family "Bacterial small subunit ribosomal RNA", at positions 29 to 523 of the family's 1533-position model. The record is from RNAcentral. Lineage: Bacteria; Pseudomonadati; Pseudomonadota; Alphaproteobacteria; Hyphomicrobiales.